Molecule: ribosomal RNA, 244 nt
Filed under: uncultured bacterium
Lineage: Bacteria
Description: partial 16S ribosomal RNA
Rfam family: Bacterial small subunit ribosomal RNA
Source: RNAcentral
UGCAAACGUUGCUCGGAAUCACUGGGCGUAAAGGGCGUGUAGGCGGGAUGGAAAGUCAGAUGUGAAAUCCCUGGGCUCAACCCAGGAACUGCAUUUGAAACUCCCUUUCUUGAGUGUCGGAGAGGAAAGUGGAAUUCCUGGUGUAGAGGUGAAAUUCGUAGAUAUCAGGAGGAACACCGGUGGCGAAGGCGGCUUUCUGGACGACAACUGACGCUGAGACGCGAAAGCGUGGGGAGCAAACAGG